This is a long non-coding RNA of Dreissena polymorpha, 1307 nucleotides long. RefSeq lists it as uncharacterized. NCBI's taxonomy places the organism in Eukaryota, Metazoa, Mollusca, Bivalvia, Myida, Dreissenidae. The transcript has 3 exons. The record is from RefSeq and is a predicted model, not a curated record.
GCCAACAACAGCUGCCGAUUUGACUCGAAUAGCGGACGGCUUCAGGGACAGCUGGAAUUUCCCCAAUACUCUUGGUGCUAUUGAUGGCUCUAGUGGAUUCUGACUACAAUUAAGUUCGUCUGGGCUGACAUUGGAGGCCGUGGUGCUGCAUGGUUUGAAAUAAGAUGCGUUGAUUAUAAGCAGCCGCACAUGUAGAUGUGUAAGUGAGAGGAUUGAAGGAAGAGAUGUUCGAUUCCCUAAAUCGAUACCUGUAAAGGCUAUCCAUCACACAGAUUGUUUUGGAGUUGAUCAUACUGAUGUUGCUCAACAUUAAAGAACCCCCGUUAAAACCUGAACUGUCGUCGUUGUUUGGAAAAACACGUAGAGUUACAAAUGGCGCCCAACGGGUUCGUUGACAAGUCGAGUCUGCAGAGAGUCGGUGUAAAGGAGCGGGUCGUGUUCGUGAAACAGCUGUUGACAUUGUUAUAGUGCUAGCAAACAUUAGACUAGGAUUCAACCACUUCAGACGUUUCAUUCAGGAUCGCAGUUUUAAUUUUUUCUGAUUUGGACACAUCAGAAAUACAUACUUUUAAGUGCUUUUAAAUCAGUUUAAAACCAUUCUAGUGGCAGAAUAAUCAAUUGUGUAUUGAUCAUGAAACUUCAUAGGUACAUUGAUCAUGACUGGCAGAUGACCCCCAUUGAUUUUCAGGUCACUAGGUCAAAGGCCAAGGUCACUGACUCGAAAUAUUAUAGUAAAAUGGUUUCCGUGUGAUAACUUAAGAGUGCUUACGCCUAGGAUCAUGAAACUUCAUUGGUACAUUGAUCAUGACUGGUAAAUGACCCUUAUUGAUUUUCAGGUCACAAGGUCAAAGGUCAAGGUCACAGUGACACUAAGCAGUAAAAUGGUUUCCGGAUGAUAUCUCAAGAAUGCUAACGCCUAGGAUCAUGAAACUUCAUAGGAACAUUGAUCAUGACUGGCAGAUGAUCCCUAUUGAUUUUCAGGUCACUUGGUCAAAGGUCUAAGCCACAGUGACUCGAAACAGUAAAAUGGUUUCCUGAUGAUAACUGAAGAAUUAUUAGGCCUAGGAUCAUGAAACUUCAUAGGUACAUUGAUCAUCACUGGCAGAUGACCCCUAUUGAUUUUCAGGUCACUAGGUAAAAGGUCAAGGUCACAGUUACUAUAACGCAUUCACACAAUGGCUGCCACUACAACUGACACCCAUAUGGGGGCAUGCAUGUUUUACAAACAGCCCUUGUUUUGAUGUUUGAAUUUAAGCAUUUGCUGGAACACUUAUUUCUAUUGAUAAGGCUGUGUUAUACCAUUUUUG